GGUUCUGUGGUGCAAUGGAAAGCAUGUUGGACUUCUAAGCUUUAGUGAACACUGUGACCUUAAUCAGUCAUUCAAAGGUUGUGGGUUCAAAUCCCACCAGAGUCA
Molecule: transfer RNA, 105 nt
Filed under: Pelodiscus sinensis (Chinese soft-shelled turtle)
Lineage: Eukaryota; Metazoa; Chordata; Testudines; Trionychidae
Rfam family: tRNA
About the family: Transfer RNA (tRNA) molecules are approximately 80 nucleotides in length. Their secondary structure includes four short double-helical elements and three loops (D, anti-codon, and T loops).
Source: Rfam by way of RNAcentral